GGGUCAGCUUCCUUCUGCCUUGCUCUGGUAUCUCCACGAAGUCCAUUCUCUCUAUCAAGUAGAUGCCUAAGUCUUGACAACAUGUCUAUAGAAAAACUGUAUAGACAUUGAACGAAUAUCCUAAAGGCACUUGGUGUUGCUACAACACUAUUGACCUCACAGGGGAUUCCAAGAGCUCUGCUCUCCAGGAUACAAUAGAAUUUCCAGAGAAGGGACUCCUGAUGUCACAAGGAACAGCUUUUGCCUCCUGGCUAACAAAUUCUCCCUGAACUGAACAGAAGCUGAGAUUCCUUUUCCAGGAGUCUCUCCUGUGAUACAGCCAUCAUAGGAGCAGCUUCCUCCUGCAGCAGAUGGGAACAAAUACAGAGACCCUCAUCUAGACAAUAUGCAGAGAGGAAGAGAACUUGAACACUCAACACGGUGAAAGUAGAGAACUAAUGGCUGCAACUUGUCCAUUGACCCACAACCAUGCUCUGGCACAUUUGUGCAAACACAUAUAUAAAUAUACAGAUGAAUAAGUGUAUUAAAGUUUUGAGAACAGAAUUCCAUACCGGGCAACUCUCAACCUAGUCUUGUCAAGUGACACAGACAUUUCUGGGGAAAUGAUGAAGAAAAACCAUGUUUCUGUCGAGAUUUCUAAACAAAUGUUGGAUGAAAGAACAUGAGGCUGCCAGAAUGAUGCUGUGGUGGGGGAACCACAAAGGCUUUGGAUGUUCUGGAAGGUUUGUUUCACAUAGAGCAAGGAUAAAGACUUGAUUCUGUGCGUGACAAUGAAUUCACGUGCGCGCGCGCGCGCACACACACACACACACACACACACACACAUCUCUGAUGUUUUCUAAAUGGAUAGAGACCCUCAGUGAGGAAACAUUGACAAUGUUGUGACACUAGAGGGGAGACAAUGUCUUCCUCCUUCCUUCCCUGCUGUCUCUGUCACAUUCCACUACCAUUUAGUACUACUGCAUUCUAUUUAUAUUAUUGUUAGCUGUUAACAAUCUCUUUUUCUUCCCUUAAUAGUUUCAUUCAGCUGACAAUUAUGGGAGGUUAUAAGUGUCAGCAGACACAAAGGAUAACACUGAAGGGAACAUCCAAUAAAGGCAUGGUGGUGUGGUGACAUGCCACUGAUCCCAGCACCAGGGAAGUACUGACAGAACAAUCAGGAGUCUGAGGCAACCUUGGGCUACAAGAGACCCUCCCUAAGACAAUAAUAUAAAUAAAAAUGAAGAACAACCUGUCUUCACAGUUGAGAGAGCUGAUGGAACAAUAUGUGGAAACAUGGCCUGAAUUGGCCCUGUGUGCUCUCAGGUUCUGUCUCCCAGAACAUGUAGCAGUUGGGGAGUUGAAGCCUCUUACUUGAUAGACCAGCCUUGAUUUUCUGCAGCAGGCAGAGCCCCCCCUAGCCACCCAGCAGAGCCAAAGCCUUGGAGACACUUGCUGGGCUUCUGGACAUGAAAGCCUUAGGUAUAUGCUGGAGAUGUCUUUCUGUAUGCUGUAAAUGUGAUUUGGUUGAUAAAUAAAAUGCUGAUUGGCCAGUAGCCAGGCAGGAAGUACAGUAUAGGUGGGACAAAGAAAGAGGAGCAUUCUGGCAACAGGGAAGCUGAGUCAGGAGACGCUGCCAGCCGCCACUAUGAGAAGCAAGAUGUGAGGGCAGAACUGAGAAAAGAUACCAAGCCAUGUGGGUAAACAUAAACAAGAAUUAUGGGUUAAUUUAAGUGUAAGAGCUAGUCAGUAAAAAACUUGAGCUAAUGGCCUUACAUUUCGUAAAUAAUGUAAGCCUCUAUAUGUUUACUUGGGUCCCAGUGGCUGUGGGACUGGCAGGUGAGAGAGAUUUGUCCUGACCUCUGGCAGGCUGGGACACAGGAAAUCUUCAGCUACAGGUAUAAGCUAGGGAUACUCUGGUAGCUUACAUGCAGUCAUAAGCAACUGGACACUUCCUAGAGGGACUUCAUGGGGUCCUGGUUCAAUGGAAUCUUACUGAUCAAUUGAACAGUGUACAGAGAAGUCUUAUUAUCUAUUAGCCUGGCGACAGAUUCUAGGCCAAAGCCCAGGAAUCUGCAUGUCAACAAGACCCUCUGUGGCAGUGGUUAUCAACUUUCGUAAUGCUGUUAACAGUCUUUCAUAGAUGUCAACUGCAGGAGAGAGAAGCUGCCUGCAUGAAUAAAGGAAGCUUAGAGAGCAGGUACAGUUCACAGUCCUUGAAUCCAGAGAAAUCAAAUGACAUGGGAUGAUAGCACUCUUUUCCCAAACAACUGCUAUCAUAUUGUUGUUGGAAAGUUCCCAGGGUCCCUCAUUUCUGUGUGUAUGUGCCUGCUCUUGGCGGUCUUCCUUCUCAUCAUUGGAAUAAACUCAACUAGCCAAAAUUUCCCAUAACUCUCAAGAGCUUGUUUUUCUGGCCAAUUUGUAGAGAGGAGUACCAGGACCAAGACUGGUUGUGUAGAGACCUCUGGAGAAGCUUGGCUGUAGGGUAAAAUGGUCACCCAAAAAAACCUACCCUGGCCCUGAAACCAGAGCCAGUGAAAGAAACACACCCUAGUCUUGAAAGCCAAGCCAGUCAAAGAAUCACUUUAGUACUGACACCAGAACUAAAGAAACACACCCUGUCCCUGAAACCACAGCCAAAGAAACACACUUUGUCCCUGGAAGCAGAGCCAGUCAAAGAAAUACACCCUGGCCCUGAAAUUAGAGCCAAAAUUCUAAAAAGGGUCAGUGAAAGAAACACACUUUGGCCCUGAAACUAGAGCCAACUCUGUCCUUGACCAACUAAUCCAACCAAUCGCUGAGCAGAAAAUCUUCUCCCUGAAAGAACUCCAUCCUUAACCCCCUAUGUCUGUUCAGUUAUCAGCUGUCCUUCACCAUCCUUGCAGAGGCAGCUCUUCUCUUGGAUUCCUCCUUCCCAAAUAAAUCUCUUUAAUGAGAGUUUUGGGUGAAGAUCUUUUGAUUGCUGGGAAGCUCCCUUGGGAGCAGAGCACUACAGAAGAAGAAACAGAUACUUCAGCUGGAAAGCUCCCUUGGCAGGGGGCAGAAUUAACAACUUCUGCCAGAGCCUGGGCAUAUUGCUACAUUUCUGGAGGAGGCGUUCUUGUUUUGCAGAGCUAAGAAGUAACACCUUGGGCCAGAGAUGAGAAGAAAAGGAUACCUCUGCUGGGACAUUCCCAUAGAGGAGCAGAGCAGCAGAAGAAAAGGAUACCUCUGCUGGGAAGCUCUCUUUCACAGGAAGGGGCAGAGCAGAACUCAUCUGUAAUGACUCUCUCUCAGAGGGAAAUAGCAUUGCCACAUCCUAUCUGGAGAUCAUCUUCCACUGCAUUCCAGUUUCAAUUAUACCUUGACUUUCCAACAA
Long non-coding RNA from Peromyscus eremicus (cactus mouse), 3337 nucleotides. RefSeq lists it as uncharacterized. NCBI's taxonomy places the organism in Eukaryota, Metazoa, Chordata, Mammalia, Rodentia, Cricetidae. The transcript has 2 exons. The record is from RefSeq and is a predicted model, not a curated record.